This 537-nucleotide ribosomal RNA is filed under the name uncultured Bacillota bacterium. RNAcentral describes it as "uncultured Firmicutes bacterium partial 16S ribosomal RNA". The record is from RNAcentral. Lineage: Bacteria; Bacillati; Bacillota.
CACGUAGUUAGCCGUGGCCUCCUCGUAAGAUACCAUCACUUAAUGAUCAUUUCCUAUCAUUACCGUUUUUCUCUUACAACAGAGCUUUACGACCCGAAGGCCUUCUUCACUCACGCGGCAUUGCUCGUUCAGGGUUUCCCCCAUUGACGAAAAUUCCCUACUGCUGCCUCCCGUAGGAGUUUGGGCCGUGUCUCAGUCCCAAUGUGGCCGUCUACCCUCUCAGGCCGGCUACGUAUCAUCGCUUUGGUGGGCCGUUACCCCGCCAACUGGCUAAUACGCCGCAGGUCCAUCCAUGUCCGCACCCGAAGGUCCUUUAAUAUAGUCAAGAUGCCUUGUCUAUACCUAUCCGGUUUAGCAGACGUUUCCAUCUGUUAUCCCGGGUACAUGGGCAGGUUCCCUACGUGUUACUCACCCGUUCGCCACUAAGUCUGUACAAAAGCAAGCUUUCAACAGUCUUCGUUCGACUUGCAUGUAUUAGGCUAUGCCGCCGAAGCGUUCACUUCCUGUACGCCUAGGGACUACCGAAAACCUUCUACG